AGGGUUUGAUCCUGGCUCAGAACGAACGCUGGCGGCAGGCUUAACACAUGCAAGUCGAGCGAGGUCUUCGGACCUAGCGGCGGACGGGUUAGUAACGCGUGGGAACGUGCCCUUCUCUAAGGAAUAGCCACUGGAAACGGUGAGUAAUACCUUAUACGCUCUUCGGGGGAAAGAUUUAUCGGAGAAGGAUCGGCCCGCGUUAGAUUAGAUAGUUGGUGGGGUAAUGGCCUACCAAGUCUACGAUCUAUAGCUGGUUUUAGAGGAUGAUCAGCAACACUGGGACUGAGACACGGCCCAGACUCCUACGGGAGGCAGCAGUGGGGAAUCUUAGACAAUGGGCGCAAGCCUGAUCUAGCCAUGCCGCGUGAGUGAUGAAGGUCUUAGGAUCGUAAAGCUCUUUCGCCAGGGAUGAUAAUGACAGUACCUGGUAAAGAAACCCCGGCUAACUCCGUGCCAGCAGCCGCGGUAAUACGGAGGGGGUUAGCGUUGUUCGGAAUUACUGGGCGUAAAGCGCGCGUAGGCGGAUCAGAAAGUUGGGGGUGAAAUCCCAGGGCUCAACCCUGGAACUGCCUCCAAAACUACUGGUCUAGAGUUCGAGAGAGGUGAGUGGAAUUGUGAGUGUAGAGGUGAAAUUCGUAGAUAUUCACAGGAACACCAGUGGCGAAGGCGGCUCACUGGCUCGAUACUGACGCUGAGGUGCGAAAGUGUGGGGAGCAAACAGGAUUAGAUACCCUGCUAGUCCACACCGUAAACGAUGAAUGCCAGUCGUCGGGCAGUAUACUGUUCGGUGACACACCUAACGGAUUAAGCAUUCCGCCUGGGGAGUACGGUCGCAAGAUUAAAACUCAAAGGAAUUGACG
This 860-nucleotide ribosomal RNA is filed under the name uncultured Rhodobacterales bacterium. RNAcentral's name for it is "bacterial SSU rRNA". It matches the Rfam family "Bacterial small subunit ribosomal RNA", at positions 8 to 915 of the family's 1533-position model. The record is from RNAcentral. Lineage: Bacteria; Pseudomonadati; Pseudomonadota; Alphaproteobacteria; Rhodobacterales.